UACGUAGGGGGCUAGCGUUGUUCGGAAUUACUGGGCGUAAAGCGUGCGCAGGCGGUUUUUUAAGCCCGGUGUGAAAUCCCCGGGCUUAACCUGGGAAUGGCAUUUGGGACUGCAAGGCUUGAGUGCGGCAGAGGAGACUGGAAUUCCUGGUGUAGCAGUGAAAUGCGUAGAUAUCAGGAGGAACACCGAUGGCGAAGGCAGGUCUCUGGGCUGACACUGACGCUCAUGCACGAAAGCGUGGGGAGCAAACAGG
Molecule: ribosomal RNA, 253 nt
Filed under: uncultured bacterium
Lineage: Bacteria
Description: partial 16S ribosomal RNA
Rfam family: Bacterial small subunit ribosomal RNA
Source: RNAcentral